This 585-nucleotide long non-coding RNA is filed under the name Vitis vinifera (wine grape). RNAcentral's name for it is "long non-coding RNA (VVIN_LNC001741)". Lineage: Eukaryota; Viridiplantae; Streptophyta; Magnoliopsida; Vitales; Vitaceae. The record is from RNAcentral.
UCCUAAGGAUGGAAGGAGGGAAGCCUACGCAGAAGCACUGGCCAAGGCAAAAGCAGAGGAAGAAGCACUUAAAGCCACUGAGAAAGCCCGUGAAGCAGCCGAGGCUGCAAAGAAGCUUGAACAAGAGGUGAAAAAGCUCUCAGAGCAAGAAACCCGUGCUGCUACUCUGGCUGAUGAGGCCAAAGAGAAGGCCGAGGCUGCUGGGGCUUCUGUGGAGGUCUUCUUGAGUAAAGCCAAAGACCUUGGCUCUGGACUCUCCUGGGAAAAGUUCAGCUCCCAGCUUGCCAUUUCUGUUCAAAAGCCCACUGAGAAACCUAAAGUGCAGAUUGCAACUGUCAGGGGACAGGCCAAGGCUCGGUCCCUCCAGCCAAAGAAAGCAGUUGUCAAACUGCCCACUUUUCCAAGACCCCCGGCUUUCAAACCCAAGGAGGAGCCAAAGCCUAAAGGUAAACAACCCGAAUCAAAGGCAGAAGUGAGGAAGGUGUUUGGAGGCCUGUUUAAACAAGAAACCAUAUACAUUGACGAUGACUGAGAGAUCUUUCCCCACUCAUUCGUAAUCUUUUGGGUUGGUUUGGUGCAGAUGUG